AUGAAAGAGUCUGCAUCAGAUUGAGUCGGUAGAAAGAGUUCAGAUCAGGAGACGCAGCAGUGGAGACUAACCUGCUCUAACUACCUGCUGCUAACUCCUCCUCCUCCUCCUCCUCCUCCUCUCCCAUUUCCUGUCGCUUCCCUUCAAACCUGAUCCAUGUUGGUUCAUCGUCAAACAAACAUGAGUCUGGUUUAACAGAGCAGAAAUGCAUCCUGGGAACUGUAGGUUCAGGCCGACAUUAAUAACGUCUGUAACAGGAAGCUGCGUCUGGAACAACUAAAGGUCAAAGGUCAUAAAUAACCAAACAGCUAAAGGUCAAAGGUCAUAAAUGACCGAACAGCUAAAGGGCAAAGGUCAUAACUAACCAAUCAGCUAAAGGUCAAAGGUCAUAACUAACCGGUCAGCUAAAGGUCAAAGGUCAUAGCUAACCGAUCAGCUAAAGGUCAAAGAUCAUAACUAACCAAUCAGCUAAAGGUCAAAGGUCAUAACUAACCAAUCAGCUAAAGGUCAAAGGUCAUAACUAACCAAUCAGCUAAAGGUCAAAGGUCAUAACUAACCAAUCAGCUAAAGGUCAAAGGUCAUAACUAACCAAUCAGCUAAAGGUCAUAACUAACAGAUCAGCUAAAGGUCAAAGGUCAUAACUAACCAUCACAGGGUCAACAUGAAACAUCCAGACUGAGUUUAACUUUGAGUCAGAUCUUCAUCGUCUCUAACAGCUGCUAGUUCUGACAGGAAGUUGAUUCUCUAACCUGUGUGUGUGUGUGUGUGUGUGUGUGUGUGUGUGUGUGUGU
Austrofundulus limnaeus is the source of this 791-nucleotide long non-coding RNA. RefSeq lists it as uncharacterized. The record is from RefSeq and is a predicted model, not a curated record. The transcript is spliced from 3 exons. NCBI's taxonomy places the organism in Eukaryota, Metazoa, Chordata, Actinopteri, Cyprinodontiformes, Rivulidae.